Molecule: ribosomal RNA, 505 nt
Filed under: Stichopus vastus
Lineage: Eukaryota; Metazoa; Echinodermata; Holothuroidea; Aspidochirotida; Stichopodidae
Description: partial 16S ribosomal RNA
Rfam family: Bacterial large subunit ribosomal RNA
Source: RNAcentral
CCUGCCCAGUGGGAACACUUUCCUAAACGGCCGCGGUAUCUUGACCGUGCAAAGGUAGCAUAAUCACUUGUCUCUUAAAUGGGGACCCGUAUGAAUGGCUUUUCAUCCUUUAACUGUCUCCCUUUUUUCCCACACAAACUUCUAUUUACGUGAAGAAGCGUACCUUAGAGAGAAAGACGAGAAGACCCUGUCGAGCUUUAGCUCAUCCUACACUUACACUCAUCCUUUCCCAGGAAAGAACCUUUGUAGGCCAGGCUUUGGUUGGGGCAACCAUGGAGAAAAAGUAUCCUCCAGUUUUCUAGGUAGAGAACCACUCUCCUCCCCCAUUUUAGAGAACCAAUAUUUUUGGAAAACGGAAAAAGUUACCGCAGGGAUAACAGCGUUAUCUUUUCUAAGAGCCCUUAUUGACGAAAAGGAUUGCGACCUCGAUGUUGGAUUGGGGUAACCAAAGGGUGCAGCAGCUCUUUGAGGUUGGACUGUUCGUCCAUUAAUCCCCUACGUGAUC